Molecule: ribosomal RNA, 451 nt
Filed under: uncultured bacterium
Lineage: Bacteria
Description: bacterial SSU rRNA
Rfam family: Bacterial small subunit ribosomal RNA
Source: RNAcentral
GAUGAACGCUGGCGGCGUGCYUAACACAUGCAAGUCGAACGAAGCGCUUGUAUUUGAUUCUUCGGAUGAAGAUACUUGUGACUGAGUGGCGGACGGGUGAGUAACGCGUGGGUAACCUGCCUCAUACAGGGGGAUAACAGUUAGAAAUGGCUGCUAAUACCGCAUAAGCACACAGUGUUGCAUGACACAGUGUGAAAAACUCCGGUGGUAUGAGAUGGACCCGCGUCUGAUUAGCUAGUUGGUGGGGUAACGGCCUACCAAGGCGACGAUCAGUAGCCGACCUGAGAGGGUGACCGGCCACAUUGGGACUGAGACACGGCCCAAACUCCUACGGGAGGCAGCAGUGGGGAAUAUUGCACAAUGGGGGAAACCCUGAUGCAGCGACGCCGCGUGAGCGAAGAAGUAUUUCGGUAUGUAAAGCUCUAUCAGCAGGGAAGAACAUGACGGUACC